CCUACGGGUGGCAGCAGUCGAGAAUUUUUCACAAUGGGGGAAACCCUGAUGGAGCGACGCCGCGUGGAGGACGAAGGCCCUUGGGUCGUAAACUCCUGUCAUGCGGGAACAAGAAAGUGAUAGUACCGCAAGAGGAAGAGACGGCUAACUCUGUGCCAGCAGCCGCGGUAAUACAGAGGUCUCAAGCGUUGUUCGGAUUCAUUGGGCGUAAAGGGUGCGCAGGCGGCGUGGUAAGUUGAGUGUGAAAUCCUGAGGCUCAACCUCAGAACUGCACUCAAUACUCCCACGCUAGAGGAAUGUAGAGGAGAGUGGAAUUCACGGUGUAGCAGUGAAAUGCGUAGAUAUCGUGAGGAAGACCAGUUGCGAAGGCGACUCUCUGGGCAUUUCCUGACGCUCAGGCACGAAGGCCAGGGGAGCAAACGGGAUUAGAUACCCCGGUAGUC
This 443-nucleotide ribosomal RNA is filed under the name uncultured bacterium. Its description in RNAcentral is "partial 16S ribosomal RNA". It matches the Rfam family "Bacterial small subunit ribosomal RNA", at positions 338 to 795 of the family's 1533-position model. The record is from RNAcentral.